This is a long non-coding RNA of Siniperca chuatsi (mandarin fish), 2731 nucleotides long. RefSeq lists it as uncharacterized. The transcript has 3 exons. The record is from RefSeq and is a predicted model, not a curated record. NCBI's taxonomy places the organism in Eukaryota, Metazoa, Chordata, Actinopteri, Centrarchiformes, Sinipercidae.
UGCCAGAGAAGGCAAGAAACCACAAGUUAGCAUUGGCGUUGCUUUCCACCCCUGGAGACAGCUCUUAGCAAGUAAAGGGAUGAAGUUUGAUGCUGAACUGCAACGUUUCUUCUAGACGAUGGAGUUCUUUGCUACAUUUAGUUUAAGAGUUCACAACAAGCAAGAACACCUCGCUUAAGAAGAAGAGGGCGACACAGUUUCACUGCAGCAAUUUUGGGACACGCUGUGGUGUUGAGACAACACACAAUGUGGUGGUUAGCCAUUAUUACUGGCCUGGAGUGCAGGAAUACAUCCAUGAAUAGCUGUCCUGAACGAUUUUAUACUGAUAAUGUCGGCUGGGUCGCAGCCACCUCUUGCUCCGGCUGGACCGCAGCUCCUCCUGCUGGGCCGCAGCCACCUCCAGUCCCUUCUGGGCCGCAGCCAUCUUCAGUGCCCGAGCUGUAGCCAGCUCCUGUUCCUUCCGAGCUGCAGCAGCCCUCUGGUCCUGCUGAGCUGCAGAAGCCUUAAGUCUCCCUGGCUCUACCGGUUCCUCUGCCAGCCUCCCAGCUGCUGGCUACCAGUCCUGCUGCUCUGUCGCCAGCCUCCCAUCCUUCAGCCCUGAUGUCGGCCUCCUGUCCUUCAGCCCUGUCACAGGGCCUCUAGUCCCGCUGCCCUGUCACCAGCCUCCUGCUCAUAUCUCCAGCCACGUCGCCGGCCUCCAGAGCGGUCCUGCCUUCGCUGCCGGCCUCCAGCCCUUCCUCCAGAGGGGUUCCGCCGUUGCUGCCAACGUCCAGAGGGGUUCCCUCUUCGCUGCUGGCCUCCAGUCUGACCUCCAGCGGGGUUCCGCCUUAGCUGGUGACCUCAAAGAGGAGUUCUGUCUUCGGCGCCAGCUUCCAGUCCAACCUCCAGAGGGGUUCUGCUUUCGGUGCCACUGCUUUCCCACUAUGAGUUCGCCAUUUUGUCAUGUUUCUAGUGUUUUCUUACAAGGAACAGAUUUGUUGUAAUAUUAAGUUAUAGUGAGUAAAAUAAGUGGUAUGGUACAGGAGGAGUGAGGUUACUGUCAUGUUAGCAAGUGAGCAUAGCUAGGCUGUGUCUGCUAAUACUGCAUGAUAAACUCCUGAUGAUGAUGAUGAUGAUGAACAUAAUUAUAUCAUGAGCAGGAACUUAGAACAGUGAACUGUUGACUGGGACACCUUAAAUGUAGCAUUACAAUCUGUCUGACUUGACACAACAAUGCACGAUGAGGUGUCCUGAUACCAAAAUAACAGUAACAAUACAUCUCAGAUUGUAUUAUUGCACUUAUUGCAUAACGCAGGCAAAAAGAGAAGCUGUGUUCAAAUCGUCAUCCAGCUUUUAUAGGUUGAAGUCAGUUUAACCCUUGGUUAAUUCAGUUUCACCAGUGAGAGACAGCCGUCUACACAGGAGCCGUUUUAGCUGCAUUUUUCAGUUGUCUGUUUCACACGCAUCUGACUAAACCUUCUAUUUUUAUCAAUCCAGCUUUGUACACAGACUGUGUAACAAUGCGCUAUACUUGCGUAUGAGCAAUGCCAAAAUGCAGGUAACCUACAAUCAAUACUGUACCUGAACGCAUCCUGCGUAGACACAGACGGAGCACCAUGCUGCUGCUGCUCUGUUAACAUCCUGCUCACGCUACGCUUCCAGUAUAGGCAUGGUGCUAGCUUAACUGUAAAGGUGGGUUUAUGCUUGAAAAGAAGUUUGAUGUGUUGUCCGAUGUCACGUCGGAAGGCAAAUGUUUUCAUGGCUUUUCUGAAUGAAUGAGGUGGGGUGAAAAGGCUUCAUAGAAAGGGCAAGGGUCGUUAACAGGAAGUAGUCAUGCAAAGAAAACAUCAGUAAGUGGCGGUAACUUGCCAAUUUAGUAGCGUACUACCAGCGCACAACCAACAACAAAGAAAGAGAACAAAUCUGUUUCUUGUUAAACGAUAACAAGAAGGAAGAAACAGAUUGAACAAUUGUGACAAGAGGAUGACGAUGAAGAGAAGUCAUACGACAAUCUUUUCAUUCUUAUGUGGUUCUACGAGAAGCUGAAGAAAAAAAAAAGAAAAGGAAGAGGAGAUUUUCUGCCCGUCCGCUGAAUAAAAGGUGAAGGCACGAGUGAGAAUUUCACAUACUAUUGCAACAAAUGCAUGUGAUGGACGAUGAGACGCAUUAUGAAUAUUUCAGGAUGACUGUGGGGAAGUUUGAUGAGCUGAAAUGGUGACUGAAACCCAACAUAAAGCACGCCACACAGUAUUAGAAUGCUUAAUGUAGUAAUAGGGUAGAUAAGUAGAUAAUCCCAGUGCUUGGCCAUUAAUGGUUUGACAAGUUGACUCAGCAUGUAAUCUGUCUAGUUAUGAUGGCAUACAUAUCAGGCCAUAGCAUCAUCAUUUAAACGAGUUCAUAUUUUUAUUUUUGAGGGUAUUAAUGUGGGAAAGAAUGCUUUGUCUCUUUCAGAUAUAAAUGGUGAAAUAAUUGUACAAACUCUACUCUUAUUGUAUGUUGUGGGGUUGUCAAGGUAGUGUUAAAUUUUAAAUGUAAGCCAUUCGACUGUCGAACAAACAGUUCUGGCUGAGUAUCCUGGUUACCUUAAGUAGGAACAAUAGCAAGUACUUUUCACCUAGCAAGUCUGAAACAACUAUUUUCUGUGGCUAUGUUGUUAAAGCAUGAUAACUUUAAUUUAGUUCCACUUAGUAAGACUCUUUCUCCAACUGGGGGAAAUAGUAUGCAUGAGGUUGGUAUUUGUUUCUGGAUUGGA